This 334-nucleotide unclassified non-coding RNA is filed under the name Hevea brasiliensis (rubber tree). The record is from RNAcentral. Lineage: Eukaryota; Viridiplantae; Streptophyta; Magnoliopsida; Malpighiales; Euphorbiaceae.
AGAAAACAGAGCACAAUCAUGUACAAUGAUUCAAACUUGGGAAAAUGUAUAUUAUACAUUGAGCACACUUCUUCUAAAAUCACAAAAUUAUGCUGCCAGUAAAAGAGUGGAACAUACAGACGAAGUCUAUCCAAAGAAAAAAAAAACCCUUUUGAUGAAUGAAUUUCCAUGCAAACCAUGCACUGAAAGACAUCAAGUCACAAGCAAAUUCAUGGCGUAGGAACGUAGACUCGUUUGCAAUGAGCAUUCCAAUUUCUAGUGAUCAUAUGAAUAACAGAGAGCCCAUAGAGGAGAAAAAGAAAGCAAUUAAAUUCAACAAGGUAUCAUCAACAUA